CCCGCCCCCCCCCCCCCCCCCCCCCCCCCCCCCCCGCCGUGCGUGCGUGCCUCUGUGUGUGUGUGUGUGUGUGACUGUGUGUGAGGUGGGUCUUCCAAUGUACCCUUGCCCUGGUUUGACCUUGGAGGGGGCAGGUGGGCAGGUCCCCAAGCCUGGCAGAUGUAGACCUUUCCUAAUCUCUAGGGCAAAUUUGUUCUUCAGUGUUUCUAGUAUCAGUUUUAGAUCAAUCAUUAAUGGAAAGUUGCAAUAAAAACCUAAUCCUCUCAGGACUGGGCUGUAAAGGUCCCGGCUGAAACCUUGAAUAAACCCUUCUGUGGAGACCUCAAAACCGAGAGAGAGCGGUCUUGUGUCUGUAGCUGGAUCUGGAGGCAAAUGAAGGCACCAUUCAUCUCUAAUCAGUGGGCACAGAAAUGGACUUCAGUCACCUGAGUGGCUGUGGAUUCUUGCUUUACCUCCAGCUGCUGAUGAAGCUGCCUAUGCUCUGACUCCUGGACCACGUGGCAAAGCUGGGGAAAGAGGUUGUAGUCGGACCGGAAUGUGGGGGUCCGGGGGCACCUCCACAGGUGUGACAGGUGUGACAGCUGUGGUGUGGCUCUGGGGUCAGGCCUGAUGGCAGUGGACACAGGGCAGCCCCCUGGGCCCCCAGACCCAUAUACUGGAGGGAGUCCCUAUCCCUAGCUCAUUCCUGCUGACUUACCGCUGUGCGUGGCAGAUUGGUGCCUGAGAUGAAGGAGAGGCCCACUUCUCAUGAAGGGAAGAGAGGAAGCAGCUGCUCCUCCCCAAGGCCCAGCAGGGAUCAGAGGCCAUGGAACCCUCACUCCUUUCCAAGCUCCCUCAAAGAGGACAGGGUGGAUCUGCUCUUUGGGGCAUGAGGUCACAGGCUCCUGACAGGCUGUAGAAGCCAGAUCUAGGAGCUAGAAUCAACAGGGGUAAUGCGAGGUCCAGCACCAGGUCCAAGAAGCAAGGGCCCCCAGGCAGGGCACGGGAACCUGGUCAAAGCACAGCCUGGACCCACAGACUUAGAGGUUUAGUUGUCAGUAACCUCCGCAGGAACCACAACAAUGACUGUAUUAUCCAAGAGAGCCGACACGCUCACAUGGACAUUUCUAAGAUGUUCAGCCUCUGAGAAGCUGGGAGAGGCACUCAUUCUUUUCUCCAGCCCCUUCUGACUCAUUACUGGGACUGCUGUGCUACCAUGUUUUUAGACACACGGAAGAAAUGGGCAUUUUGAGAGAAGUGAAAGCCUGGAGGUGCAGGGGAGUUGAAAUUAGGUGUGAGAAAUUGUUCAAAGAACUGAUGUCCAGAACAGUGACAGACUUAUUCUGAGUGGCUCAAAGGGAGGAAGCAGCAUCACUGAGAACAGGGGAGAGAGAGAGAUGUGAGGAGGAGACUUCCAAUGGGUCCAAUGUGGUCUCUAAAGAUAGAUGUAUACAUAUAUAUAUAUAUAUAUUUUUUUUUUUUUUAAGAGAGAGAACAAGAAGGGAAUGAAAGAUACACACAAAGUUUAACAGCAGCUCUCUCUAGCUGGUUGCAAACGCUGGCACCUGGAGAAAAGAAGGAAAGUAAAUGACUGAGGCAGAGCAUGGAGGGUGGGCCUUCGGGCAAAGAAAGCCUGGCUGGAGAGCGAGUGACGAGUGCUCAUCGACUGCGAGUUCUUCAGAAGCCAGAGAGGUGAUUCUCUUGCAAAUGGGAUUCAGG
RNAcentral lists this long non-coding RNA (1698 nucleotides) under Equus asinus (donkey). Its description in RNAcentral is "lncRNA (ENSEASG00005032249.1)". The record is from RNAcentral. Lineage: Eukaryota; Metazoa; Chordata; Mammalia; Perissodactyla; Equidae.